CCUACGGGGGGCAGCAGUGGGGAAUAUUGGACAAUGGGGGGAACCCUGAUCCAGCCAUGCCGCGUGUGUGAAGAAGGCCCUCGGGUUGUAAAGCACUUUCAGUGAGGAAGAACGCCUGGUGGUUAAUACCCAUCAGGAAAGACAUCACUCACAGAAGAAGCACCGGCUAACUCCGUGCCAGCAGCCGCGGUAAUACGGAGGGUGCGAGCGUUAAUCGGAAUUACUGGGCGUAAAGCGCGCGUAGGUGGCGUGAUAAGCCGGUUGUGAAAGCCCCGGGCUCAACCUGGGAACGGCAUCCGGAACUGUCAAGCUAGAGUGCAGGAGAGGAAGGUAGAAUUCCCGGUGUAGCGGUGAAAUGCGUAGAGAUCGGGAGGAAUACCAGUGGCGAAGGCGGCCUUCUGGACUGACACUGACACUGAGGUGCGAAAGCGUGGGUAGCAAACAGGAUUAGAUACCCGAGUAGUC
This 465-nucleotide ribosomal RNA is filed under the name Vreelandella stevensii. RNAcentral describes it as "partial 16S ribosomal RNA". It matches the Rfam family "Bacterial small subunit ribosomal RNA", at positions 338 to 795 of the family's 1533-position model. Lineage: Bacteria; Pseudomonadati; Pseudomonadota; Gammaproteobacteria; Oceanospirillales; Halomonadaceae. The record is from RNAcentral.